CUUCUUCUUCUUCUUCCUCUUCUACCCCGCCCUUGUUCUUUUCUUUUUCUUUAAAUAUCUCAGACCAAACAUAUACAAAGUUGGUGGGAAGGGGAAUCAUUAUCUUAUCAAACAAGUUGAUGAAUAAUCUUGAUGUUGAUGUUUGGUUACUUUGAUGAACUCUAGUCUGGUUCCCAUUUACCCUGAUCGAUGGCUAGCUAGCUGCAUAUCAAUAUCAAUUAUCAUUUUCACCUAGCUUGAACUCGAACAUUGCCUCACCGAACAAGCAACCACCUGCGCCCACUGCCUUAGCCUCGUCUUCAUCGUCUGUGGAUUGUCACCUGCAUCCGAUUUUCCCAAGAAACAAUCACUCCUCACAUGAAGAAAAUCAAACAAACAUGCUAUUUUUUAAAAAACAAAUUUAAAAUAAAAUUAACUUUAUACCUGGACCGAAGAUGGCAUGGGGGCUGCCCAGUGGAGACGGCGAAUCACAGUCAGACGCCGUGGACAAAGACGACGUCGUCGUUGCCGUGACUGACUUGAAAAGGGUGUCAUAAUAGUGCUUGUUGACAGCAUGAUAAAGUCCCAGAGCGGGCAAAGUAUCAGAUAACCGUUGAUCCACCUCGGGUGAGUCAAACCCGAAACCUAACUCGAUGCAACCCUUAAGCUCAUCAAGAUCUUCAUCUGUAACGCUCUUGCUUCUCCGAUUCUUGCAGUUUCCUUUCCGCCUAAGCCAAGCCUCAUCCCGGUAAAUAUCCGGUGACCAAGAAUGCUGCUUAUAAAGCGAUGGUGAUGGGCCCAGCAGCUGCUGCUGUUGUACAGUUGGAGGUGGAAGAGGCUGCUGUGCUGGCGGGAGUGGUGGCGCGUGACACUGAGGGAGGGACAUGGGCACAGCCCCAGAAGAAGGGGAGUGCGGCGGAGGCCGGAGGACCUCGCCCGGUGGGCUAGAGAGCGCUAUGGCUAAAAGAAAAAAAUGUUAAAAAUUUUAAACUU
RNAcentral lists this unclassified non-coding RNA (972 nucleotides) under Hevea brasiliensis (rubber tree). Lineage: Eukaryota; Viridiplantae; Streptophyta; Magnoliopsida; Malpighiales; Euphorbiaceae. The record is from RNAcentral.